RNAcentral lists this RNase P RNA (435 nucleotides) under Prosthecobacter sp. RNAcentral's name for it is "RNase P RNA component class A". It matches the Rfam family "Bacterial RNase P class A". Rfam says of the family: Ribonuclease P (RNase P) is a ubiquitous endoribonuclease, found in archaea, bacteria and eukarya as well as chloroplasts and mitochondria. Its best characterised activity is the generation of mature 5'-ends of tRNAs by cleaving the 5'-leader elements of precursor-tRNAs. Lineage: Bacteria; Pseudomonadati; Verrucomicrobiota; Verrucomicrobiia; Verrucomicrobiales; Verrucomicrobiaceae. RNAcentral also lists the same sequence under 1 other name. The record is from RNAcentral.
CGGGUCGGCCGGAGGGGUCGCCCGUCGGUGGUGCUCCGGCAUCAUGCGGACGGGAGGAAAGUCCGGACACCGCAAGGCAGCAUGCCACGCGCAAGCGUGGGGGCGGCGGAGAAAUCCGGCGUCACGGAAAGUGUCACAGAAAACAAACCGCCGUCCGGCAACGGGCGGCAAGGGUGAAAUGGCGGGGUAAGAGCCCACCGCUCCAACCGCGAGGAAGGAGGCACGACAAACCCCAUGCGGUGCAAGACAGAACAGGAGAAAGGCCCGCCUGGCCGCAAACCUGUCCGCUCCGGCGGACGGGUGGAUGACUCCGGGUAAUAGUCGCACCCCGCGCGAGCGGAGGCCGGCGCCGCAAGGCGCUGGCAGACAAAUGACCUCACCGGAGGCCGCAAGGCCGAAGGAACAGAAUCCGGCUUAUGAAGGCCGGCCCACCUU